AUAACUAUGUAAUUGAUGUAAAAGGCUGACUUAAAUACAAACUCUAUAUAAAACUUAUUGAAAGUUCUUUAAAAACAGUUUUAUUGUAGCUUUUUCAAAAACUGUAUAUUGUUACUUCUAUUUUUUUUUUAACCAGACUGGAUAACAAAUAGGUCUAUACUUCUGUAAAGCAAUAUACAGAAUAAAUCUCAACAAUCAACAGUCUAUAAUAAAACUCUUAACUUUUAAGUAGACUUUGUGUAAAUCUUUAAGAUAUCUAAUAUUUUAAGCAAAUAUGAGUGAUGGUGUGGUGAUCAGAUGACAGGCGAUGAAGAUUCUUCAGCUGGAUGUUCUGCAGCAGUCAGGAAACAGGAAGUCUGGGUUCUCAGGGGAGCCUCUAGAUGACAAUUGUAACUGAAUACUUACAGAGUGACAAAAAAGGGUUUGUCCUUAAAUAAUAAUAGUAUAAACUUGCAGUCAAAUGUUAUAGCCAAUGAAACAGACUUGAAAAAUAUAUUUGAAUCCAAUUUAUUAUCUAUGUGAAUAUAACAGUCUGAAUGUAUGUAUUACAAAAUAACCAGAUUAUCUUAUUACAAAUAAACCUUGAAAAAGUGUAAUGUAAAAAUUAAAAUGACAAAUGUAGGACUGUGUAAGUAGUUUCUACUGUGAGUUCUACUGUAGUGUAAUUCUACUACUGUAAUUUCAAGUUUCUACUUGUGAUUUCCAGCAAAAUGACUGGAUGUGAGAGAGUUUAACGACAGGAAAGAUGGAGCAGUGAGAGCGGAGAUCUCUCAGAAUUCUGAAAACAGAUCGACGAAGUUCUGGUAACUUCAAUUCCAAAAACUUAGAUUCUGGUAAAACUUGAUUUCAAGUCACAGGAUUGCGUUUCAACUCAGGUUCAAGCUUGUCAACUUAGAUAGAGCUCAUGGCGGAGAAAUGAUAGAAGAUAGAAUGGCUUGUCAAAAAAGAUGGAGCAGGGAGAGGGAGAGUGAUAGGACAGACUGAAUUGCUUGUUAAUGAUAGAGGGAGAGGGUAUUCUGCAGCAGGUCACCUGUAAGACAGAAAGAGACUGGAAUUAGGCAUAUUUUCAAUAAACAUGGCUUCCAAGUAUUUUUCUGACUAUAAGGCACAUUUAAAAGCCUUUAAUUUUCUCAAAAAAUCAACAGUUUACCGUAUGUAUUAAUUCUGGCUGUGCUUGCUGACCUCAAACCAAUUUUAUGUGUUACACGGCGCUCAAACAUCUGUCAAAAUGUUUUAGUACGACUUUGGAAAGCUACAAAGCUGCAGCGCUUGAUGGAUUGUUGGAGCAUUACAGCUACAGUAGUCAGGUGCCUCGCGGAGUAAUUCCUAUUGUCCUUAAACAUAAUAUUAUGGUGUGUGUAUGAGAAUCUGGCACCUGUUUAGAGACAUGCGUCAUUGAAGCAGAUUUCAAACCGAUCAAUCCAUGAAGAAUUUGAUAGAUUUGUGGAAGAGGACUGAACAGAAAAAGUUAGUGUAUUGUUAUGUGUUACCACUGAAAAAUGUUGAGAGUUACUGUGAAUGAGUUGAAUAGUUUGAGUUAUCUGAAUAUUUGGUUAGCUGCAUACGCCUUAUAACCCGAAAAAUACAGUACAUACAGGGCUUUACAUAUUGAAGAGUUCCACAGUACAUUAUUGGACUGAACUGAUAGAAAAUGCUCAAAAAUGGUGGUGGAACUAUCCUAAAGAAAUUUUUACAUUCUAUUAACAUAAUAAAAACAAACAGUGUCUAUAAACUUAAACCAAGAUGUGCUGCUACAAUAACCUACUGUAAAUAUCAUAUGGUCCAACAAAACACACACACUGAGGUUAGAGCAGACAGUUUCAGGCCACCUGCUUAAAAUUCUUGCCACAUCACAUGUUCCUUAAUCCCCAAAGUUCUCAAAUCACUGUUUCUGUGUGUACUUACCUGGGACAACAGUACAUCAUAAUAUCUGGGCACACAGAAACAGGGAUUUGAGAUCCGUUAACAUAAAAGUAAACAAUACUGUUUCUACAUAUUUCAGUCACAUUUGGGGUAUGUUUAAUACACAGCCAUAAGCACUCCACUAAAUCUAGGACAUACUUAUAAUGACCGAUUUAAAGGCCUAAUUAAAAAUAUAUAUGACCAUAAUUUCUUUGUAGAUCAUUUAACCAUAAAAUACAGAAAUGAAUGCUGUAUCUGUGCUUUUGAUUGUUUCCAGUCAUCAACAAAAUCUUUAAUUAUAAAAGACUAAUUCAAAGAGCAGUUUUCAGACAGUGACUUAAUUAUUGAAGGGAAAGAAGCUUUUGAAAUCCACAAGGCCCUAUUUGAAGACUUAAUUGUACCUAAACUGCUGUUCAUGAGCUGCUCUAAUGUGAAAAAAUAUGUGCUGCUACAAUAACCUACCUACGGACCUCUGUAGGUCUGGAAAUGUUUACACAGACUUUACUAGGAUUUGAUGACUUUUGAUGAUCACCAAUAGCUGUGCUCACUCACACCACUACACUGAAUCUCCUAUCAUGAGAAACAUUUCCCCAGCACUGCACCUCAGAAAAACCUUUACUUACCAGACUUGAGACGAUCAGGUCAGCAGUCUAGAGAAAGGAAACAAUUCAUCAGAUCACUGUUAGAUGAUUCAGACUGUUGAGCCUCUUCACACACAAUCCAAUUUACUGUGACACAAAUUAACUAGUAAAAUCCUAAAUUACUUUAAGCUUUUUUAAGUUUACUGUAGUCUGAAGAGGAGAUAAUUGAACUGCAGGGUCUCACAUGGCUUUAGCAUGUGUAAUAAAAGCAUUAUUACUACAGAAAUGCAAAGAACAGGCACCAAUAUUUGUUGGCACAAGUGCAGGAUACACCAAAUAUUUCCUACACAGAAGCCUUGUGGCUCAAACAUUUUCUACAACAGGUCAGUGCUAAUAAAGUGUGAAAAAUCAAAACUUCCUUUCAGGUUAAAAACAUUAAAUACAAAGUAAUUCUUGUAAUCAGAAGCAACAGAAAACCUCAUCAUGUUUUACAUGAUGAGGUUUUACAUGUAAAUAUUGACAUGUUACAAUAACAGAGGUGCAGAAUGUUUGUGAUUAAAAUUAAAUGUCCUAAAAUAUUACACUAAAAAGUCCUUUCAUUGUACCCGUUGCUAGGAAUAUUUAUGCAUUUUGCAAUGUCCCUUUUUGGCAACAUUUCUAUUUAAUUGUAAAAUCAUUAUAUUCACUAAAUAAGUAAUAAACUAAUUAGACACACUGGCUGUAAUUUACCUAACAAUGUCCACUCACACCUCUGGUUCUCUUCGUUUUUAUUAUUGCUUAACUGUUAAAGCUAUUACUUAUACCGAGUGAGGCAAAGUACUUCUACAGUGUUCUGACUUUAAUAUAAUACAUCAGCAGAAUUUGAGAGACAAUAUGAAUCAAUACCUGUGCAGCUCUUAAGUGUUUGAGCAACCACUUAUACUGACUCUCCUAAAACACUUUCACUGUUUUGUCUGCUACUUAAAUCCACAAACAUAAGGACAAAAUGAACACCUGGAUAAAGACAUCUGACAUUUAACUGUUUGAAUUCAAUAAGCCAUAUGAAAUUUAAAUCAUACAUAAAUGGGCUACUAAACUUCAGGGACAUUUUCAGGGACAGUCAGAGGCCCUGUGUGGGGGCUUUGCUGCUACAGGUCACAAAUCUUGUGUUUUUGCCAAUCAGUAAAUGGAAACGUAUCACAAAAAGUCAAACUACUGUAUGUAAGUCGUCAAAUGUGCUACACAAUGCCAGGUUCAUACUGCUUCAGUUACA
Molecule: long non-coding RNA, 3735 nt
Organism: Oreochromis aureus
Lineage: Eukaryota; Metazoa; Chordata; Actinopteri; Cichliformes; Cichlidae
Source: Ensembl